Molecule: long non-coding RNA, 193 nt
Organism: Xenopus tropicalis (tropical clawed frog)
Lineage: Eukaryota; Metazoa; Chordata; Amphibia; Anura; Pipidae
Exons: 2
Source: RefSeq, a predicted model, not a curated record
CCCAUUCAGGUGGUACUGACUGAUGUGACGGAUGUGUAACUUAAGUUAAGGAGAAUUGAUCCAAGUGCAUCCAACUGAAAAAUGCAUGUAUCAGUAUUAUUCAGCAUGUGGGCAGAGGUGAAAGCAUUUAUUAAAAAGAAGAAAACUCAGCUUUACCUUUCACCAUGCAGUCUGAUAGAAAAUUAAUUGGCAG